Daphnia pulex (common water flea) is the source of this 1142-nucleotide long non-coding RNA. RefSeq lists it as uncharacterized. The transcript has 6 exons. The record is from RefSeq and is a predicted model, not a curated record. NCBI's taxonomy places the organism in Eukaryota, Metazoa, Arthropoda, Branchiopoda, Diplostraca, Daphniidae.
AACCAACACUAGCUUAAACUAACCUACAUUCUUCUCAUGUUUUAUUAGAAUUUAUCUUAAUUAUCGGCUGUUUCUUUUGGACUUGCUAGAUCACCGACCCCAGAAUGGACCAUUCUCUCAUUCCAUUUUCUAGAGAGCCUUGGAUAACUGAUUUAUGGUUUCAUGUGUAAGUUCACUUAUCAUGUUACUGAACUUUCUUCGUUCAAAAAGGUCAAAGACUAUACGUUCAACAAGAUUCCUUGUUUGCUAACCCGUUGUCUGCCACCCUUGAAUCUCUCUGUUUGUCAACAACUGAAAAAGAGGUUCCUGAAUGGAUGGAAAUGAUGAAAAAUCGCCCGGAAUUGUGCCUCAAGGCCAACCAGAAAAUAGCUCAACGGAUGAAACACGGGCAGUUUCCUUACUCCAAAGAAUUUGAACAAGAUUCUGAUGGCUUAGCAUAAUCCUGCUUGGUGGGUGUUCAUGGCAGACUGAGCGGGAGCGCGAGUGUUGCAGAUCACUGGAAUGAUCGCCAUUUGGAGUUUAGUGUUUGGCUGUUGAAGAUGUGUUGCGAUUUCUUGGUGAUGAAAAUAUGAUGAUUCUAGUGAAGAGGAUAUUGCGAGAAAACGUGAAAGAGGCUUGCAGGCUACUGUCAACUUUUUUUGCCAAAAUCAUUGUAUGCCUGCUGAAUAUGUCAAAUGAUACAGCAUACAGGAUUCAACACAAUUAUCGGCUGAUUUUCAUUGGACUCGCUAGAUCACCAUAACCCUAGUUUGGAGUUUGGACCAAUGUUGGCUGUAGCAACAUCUUUUUCUAACAAAUUUACAUUGGCAGUGUUGUGAGAAAGCUGUGACCAAAGUAAUUUUCUCUGGACUCAUUCCGUCUAUUGGAGACCUUGAGAAUGGGAACUACUACAUCUACUGGGGAAACCUGAUUGGUGUCAACUCAUCAUGUGUAAUAGCCAAGAGGUGAACAUGGAAAGGGGGUUGGCAUCUCUACAACAUCAAUUUGGCGGUGACAUCCGACAUGUGCUUCGCAGAUCAUCUAUUGUUAUUGGUAUGAUGUUUUGUUAGUUAACCCGUUGGUUGCCACGCCUUUGUUCUCCCCUAGCUCCUUAGCACGGGCCGCGCUGUUCGGUCUCGUGGUUUUCAUGCCGCGGGGUCGGA